Long non-coding RNA from Vigna angularis (adzuki bean), 4180 nucleotides. RefSeq lists it as uncharacterized. The transcript is spliced from 13 exons. The record is from RefSeq and is a predicted model, not a curated record. NCBI's taxonomy places the organism in Eukaryota, Viridiplantae, Streptophyta, Magnoliopsida, Fabales, Fabaceae.
GUUUUCUAUUACCGGGUUUUGUUCAAUGCAUGUGAGCAUCCACCCCAAAUUGGUCAAGAAGAGGAGUAGGACUUUGCACAUGAAAGAAGAAACAAAAAAUAAAAAAUUUCUUCUUUUUCGCAACAGAGUUUCUCCUUCUCUUUGCUCUCUUUUCCAGUCGCACAGAGGCACACUUCGUCUUCUUCCUCCAUUUUUCCUCCAUUGUUCGAUGCUCAAAUGUUGUCAAAGAGAGAUUUCUUCAAAGGGUGAGACGAGGAAACUUAUUGCUUCUGCUCGUAGAAGACGUGGAGCAACUGAGCCUAAUGUUGAGGUUGAUGACCAUGGAGUUGUGAGGUUUAAGGAGGAUGCAAUUGUUCUUGAAGAUGGAUUUCUUGGAGCACAAUUUUAAUCAGGAGGAUGAACAUCAAGAUGUUCUUAAAGGUGAAUUGGCAGGGUUGGGUAAUUGCAAAACUUUAAUUUUAAUGAUUAUUGUUUAGUUGAAGGCAAAUUUUAUAUUAAAUAUUAUUCUUUAGGGUCGGGGGGAGAUGAAGUUGAUCUCCCACGGGAACAAGUUAAACAAAUUAGGAUCCUUCCACAAGGGCAUUAGAGACAUGGUGCAUGGUUCGGGUCUGAUUUCUCUGGUGGACAUCUCAUAUGACUACGUGGAUAAGGGUCUACUGCUGGCAUUUGUAGAGAGGUUUCAUUUCGAGGCUAGUAGUUUCCAUCUUCCAGUGGGUGAGAUGUCCGUGACUUUAGAUGAUGUGUCAUCCUUGCUGCAUCUCCCAAUUUUAGGCCAAUUUUGUAAUCUGGAUGAAUUAGAUUUUGAAGAAAGUCAACGCGCCACUCUGGAGGUUUUAGUCAUAUCAACAAGUAUUACUUGUUCAGGAGGAUUUAACCUACCAGCGUAACGAUGUCUCACUAAAGUUUCUACUAAAUCGUGGUUGUGGUAUCCACAUAUCACUUGCAAUACCCACCCAUCGCCAUUAGCAGAUGGCUUGCCCCUUAACUAGAAAUGACACUCACAUUUUUAGGUGCCAUAUGUACUAGGUUCAACAUCGUGUUUGUAUUUUCUAUAUUUUUCACCUCUUUCACAUCCUAGCAACACAAACGUCUUCCUCCUAGGUUGACCGAUAACUUUAUCGGAUCUUAUAGUCACCACAACAAAUCCUAGAUCAUAUGCAAUCCCUCUUACCCAUUCAAUUAAGUUUUCACGAGAAAAAAUAAUUUCAUUUGUUGUGAAAUGAUUUGUUAGAUCACUAGUGCAGAAAAGGCCUUUAACAUCACCCUUUAAAUGUCUGACCACUAGUGGACUUUUUGUAAAUAAGAGAACUAUUUAGACUACGACUAUGGGGGUGAGGGGACGUCUAAAUACGAAUACACGUCAAUGCCCCUCAAAUGGACGUUAGAAAUAUACGAAAAAAUAAACAAAAUUAUUGGCUUUAGACGUCCGGGGGCAGGAGGCCGACGUGUAUGGCCUAUUUAGACGUCGGCCCACAACAUUGGACGUCGAAUUGGUCAACCUAGAAUCCCAAUAGUCACUUUUAGAUGUCUGAUCUUGCCAUCCCGACAUUUAAAGUCCUAUUUAGACGUCGGCACCCCUUCCCUAGACGCCAAAUGACCUAUAAAAGUGACUAUUCCAUUGCCCUUAGACGUCCGUCAGUUAGCCCCAACGUCUAAAUAGGUCUUAGACGUCGACUCCCCCCAACCGAGACGCUAAAUGUGUUCGCCAAAAUUAAUAUUUUAAACUCAUACACGUCGGCUUGGGAGGGGAGUGGACGUGUAACGUCAUUUAGACGUCGGCUGGGAGGGGGGCCAAUGUCUAAAGGUCUCCUAUUACCAACCCGCGAAUGCGAGAUAGCAGUUACGUGCACUCACUAUUCAUUGUCUUCCUUGCGUUUUCUCUCCACGGCCUACGCUUUUGAGUUUUAUGCGUGUUCUUGGGCGGCGAUUUUGAGCGUUUUUGGCCCACGAUUUCUUGCGUUUUUGAGAGGUGCAUUCCUCCAUUUCCCUCCAGAUCAGGAUCAGGAAAGAGCAGAUGUGGUCGACCGGUCACAAGAUUGCCCGAUGUGUUAUCCCGACGUGUUGCAGAGGACAUGAUACAUGUUGACAUUGACCCGAGAUCAGGUCUGCCUUCAAGGUCACAUGUUGAUAAGUUUAGGAGUUAUUUGGGUAUGUUAGCAAAAACCCAUGUUUCUAUCAUUCUUGCAUCUUGAGAUGACAUCCCAAAGGUCGACAAGAACCUUUUAUGGUAGGACAUUCAGAAAGAAAGUCUUAUCCAAUGUAGCGAUCAAAUGGAGGGAUUUCAAGACAAGACUAACACGUCUAUAUGUCUUUGGAGACAAACAACACGAGUCUCCUUGUAACAAGUACAUAAUAACUAAGGAGGAGUUGAUGCAAUUUCGUGCAUCUAGAGAGUCUGGGGACUGACAAGGUAAAAGGUUAGCUGUCCAAGAAAGACAAAGACUAAAUGAUGCUCCUCACGUGUUAUCACGAGGUGGUUAUGCAUUACUUGAGAGGAAGAUGAGAAAGAGUCGAGUAGAGGCCUUAAGACUUGAGUCCCCCGACCUAGCACCUGCAUUUGUUGGGUACGAGAUGUGGAAGGCUGCUCGGACUAAGUCUGAUGGGAACAUAACAUCCUCCUCAGCUGCCUUGAUCUCACAAAUUGAUGAAUUGGUUGAGCAGUAGACUCAGGGAACAUUUGUUGGCCAAGGUAGGGACGACAUUCUAACAACGACCAUUGGAAAGCCCGAGCACCCAGGACGUGUACGUGGAGUUGGUGGGGCGAUUGAUCUUCGUGACUACUUUGCCCCUACACAAAAAAACAUUGAAUCCAUGAGUUAGGAGGCACUGAAGAAGAUGGAUCUUCAGUGGGAGGAAAGGCUCAACCAAAGCAUGAGAUCUAUGGAGCAACGAUUCAUGGAACAACUACAAGAACAAAAAUAAAUCUAAAAAGCGCUUGAAGAGAAGCUGCAUUCCAUGACCCAGGGCACCGUGGGGGUGUCCACUAAAGCUCCAACAGCACCUCGGGUCAACACAAGAGGAUCAUGCUCUCUUGUAGACCCUACUAAGUAUAGUUGUCAAUAUGAGUUGUUGGUUGAGCCUACUUAUGGUUGUUCCCUUAUUAUGCCACCACGCAUUGUGGUUGUUCGACGAGUACUUGAGGGAGGACAACCUAUUUAUGGUGUUCCCUUAUUAUGCCACCACGUUCGUAUGAUGAUUGACGAGGUUCGGGAUUCCCAGGCUCAGAUGUUUGUACCCACUUCAGAAAUUCAUUUUGUGGGGAAGGCCAUAGGAACAUUUAUAGCCUGGCCUAAAACAUUGAUCAUGUCACACAUUGCUACACCACAAUUCACACGUCCUCAGAAGCCAUCGAUGCAUGAGCUAGUUAUAGAUGAAGAUGAUGACAUGGGUGAAGCGGAGGAUGAUCCUCUAUCAAAGCUCAUGACAAAAUUACCCAGGUUGUCCAAAGGACUAGUAGAAUUGUACUGGGAUUUAAGAGUAUUUGGCCUUCAGUGCCAUGUGCCAGUAUAUAUCACAUUAAAUUAUGCACUAGAGGUCAUUGGGGGAGACAGGAUGUUGAAUAUUUCCAUCCUUCAACUAUGAUGCAUGUACAUGGUCACUGUCAUUGUGGACCAAGGUCGAUCUUCCAUGUACGAAUUUGUUGAACCUCAGACCAUUCAACCUUCUGGUAACACAAUUAAGACCAAACAAAAUUAUUUGCAAACAUGGAUGGCUAAGUCAAAUAGAGACGUAUACCUUGUGCCAUACAUUGAUGGGUCUCACUAGCAGUUGAUGGUCAUCAUUCCCAGACAAUGCAAAAUUAUAUGGUUUUGUUCGCUGCACAUGAGGACGAAAAAUGACUUCAAAAACAUGCUUCAAGAUGUAACAAGCAGCUAGAUUCAUGGGAAUGUGGAUAUUAUGUCAUGUUUUGGAUUAAAACCAUCAUUCGAGCUACCAUUACAGAUGACUGGAUUGAGCGCUUCAUGAGUACAUAUCCUAUGCUAAAGGACGUAACUAAAAAGAUAAGACAAGAAUGAGCAACUUAUCUUCUCUAGAGAUGGACGUAGGAAGACCACUAUUGAUGUUGAACAUUAAUUACAUUUAGUUUAAGUUUAACUUUUGAUAGUUUAGGUUUUGGAUUAUUUUUUAGAUUAUUUAGUACUUUGUUAACUUGAAACGCAUAAAAUAUGUUAUAUUUUGC